RNAcentral lists this ribosomal RNA (452 nucleotides) under uncultured bacterium. Its description in RNAcentral is "bacterial SSU rRNA". It matches the Rfam family "Bacterial small subunit ribosomal RNA", at positions 29 to 524 of the family's 1533-position model. The record is from RNAcentral.
AACGAACGCUGGCGGCAGGCCUAACACAUGCAAGUCGAGCGCGCCCUUCGGGGUGAGCGGCGGACGGGUGAGUAACGCGUGGGAACGUGCCCUUUGCUACGGAAUAGUCUCGGGAAACUGGGGGUAAUACCGUAUGAGCCCUUCGGGGGAAAGAUUUAUCGGCAAAGGAUCGGCCCGCGUUGGAUUAGGUAGUUGGUGGGGUAAUGGCUCACCAAGCCGACGAUCCAUAGCUGGUUUGAGAGGAUGAUCAGCCACACUGGGACUGAGACACGGCCCAGACUCCUACGGGAGGCAGCAGUGGGGAAUCUUAGACAAUGGGCGCAAGCCUGAUCUAGCCAUGCCGCGUGAGCGAUGAAGGCCUUAGGGUUGUAAAGCUCUUUCGUGGGGGAAGAUAAUGACUGUACCCCCAAGAAGAAGCCCCCGGCUAACUCCGUGCCAGCAGCCGCGGUAAU